AGUAUAUAAAUAAUAAUCACAUUAUUUCAAAUCUCUUGAUCUAAUUAAUUAUAGCAACUUUGCUGGUCUUUGGACUUAACUUCCCUUAACCUGAAUCGCAGCAGAAGUGGAAAGUUCUGGCCACUGGCUCAUUCAUACACUGUAUGCAGGCUAUUUGAUAGUUUAUAAGGAGUCAAGGAAGGACUUUUUGGAAACAGAAUAUCCAACAUUACCUGAAACCGUAGAUGAACGAACAGAAAUGUCUAGAAAUGUUAUACAGAAGGCAAUAUCCAACGUUGAAAAACAUAGAUACAGCGAGAAGCUUGUACCCGUUAGUCUCUUUCGGACAAAAUUAAAAAAGAAAUGAUC
Limulus polyphemus (Atlantic horseshoe crab) is the source of this 348-nucleotide long non-coding RNA. RefSeq lists it as uncharacterized. Lineage: Eukaryota; Metazoa; Arthropoda; Merostomata; Xiphosura; Limulidae. The transcript has 3 exons. The record is from RefSeq and is a predicted model, not a curated record.